RNAcentral lists this ribosomal RNA (521 nucleotides) under Faecalibacterium prausnitzii. RNAcentral's name for it is "bacterial SSU rRNA". It matches the Rfam family "Bacterial small subunit ribosomal RNA", at positions 1014 to 1533 of the family's 1533-position model. The record is from RNAcentral. Lineage: Bacteria; Bacillati; Bacillota; Clostridia; Eubacteriales; Oscillospiraceae.
UUUCCUUCGGGACGCAGAGACAGGUGGUGCAUGGUUGUCGUCAGCUCGUGUCGUGAGAUGUUGGGUUAAGUCCCGCAACGAGCGCAACCCUUAUGGUCAGUUACUACGCAAGAGGACUCUGGCCAGACUGCCGUUGACAAAACGGAGGAAGGUGGGGAUGACGUCAAAUCAUCAUGCCCUUUAUGACUUGGGCUACACACGUACUACAAUGGCGUUAAACAAAGAGAAGCAAGACCGCGAGGUGGAGCAAAACUCAGAAACAACGUCCCAGUUCGGACUGCAGGCUGCAACUCGCCUGCACGAAGUCGGAAUUGCUAGUAAUCGUGGAUCAGCAUGCCACGGUGAAUACGUUCCCGGGCCUUGUACACACCGCCCGUCACACCAUGAGAGCCGGGGGGACCCGAAGUCGGUAGUCUAACCGCAAGGAGGACGCCGCCGAAGGUAAAACUGGUGAUUGGGGUGAAGUCGUAACAAGGUAGCCGUAGGAGAACCUGCGGCUGGAUCACCUCCUUUCUAAGGAG